RNAcentral lists this transfer RNA (72 nucleotides) under Marmota marmota marmota (Alpine marmot). It matches the Rfam family "tRNA". From Rfam's summary of the family: Transfer RNA (tRNA) molecules are approximately 80 nucleotides in length. Their secondary structure includes four short double-helical elements and three loops (D, anti-codon, and T loops). RNAcentral also lists the same sequence under 2 other names. The record is from Rfam by way of RNAcentral. Lineage: Eukaryota; Metazoa; Chordata; Mammalia; Rodentia; Sciuridae.
GGGAAUAUGGCUCAGUGGUAGAGCACUUGCCUGGAAGGCACAUGCAAGGAUCUGGGCUCGAUUCCCAGCCCC